Molecule: long non-coding RNA, 983 nt
Filed under: Medicago truncatula (barrel medic)
Lineage: Eukaryota; Viridiplantae; Streptophyta; Magnoliopsida; Fabales; Fabaceae
Description: long non-coding RNA (MTRU_LNC008079)
Source: RNAcentral
CAAUAGCAAAAUCCAUAAUCCCUAUUGGAACUUUCAAGAACUUAGGCUCCUUCCUUAAAAGCUUAAACAAAAUUUCCCCUUGUUCCAAUGGAGUCAAUGCCUUCCCUGGUCCUCCAAUAGGUAAAAUCUUGUUAAUUUUAUCCUCACUCAUCACACAAUCAACAAUAAAAGAAGCCAAAUCUUGUUCACUUAUAGGUUUACAAGCACACAACUUUCCAUCACCAAACAUCACAUAAGGCUUCCCAUCUUUCACCAAAUCAACCUGACCACCUAAACUUUUAAAAAACGCGGUCGGCCUCACUAUACUAUAACUAAACCUAUCAUCUUUCUCCGCUUCCUUUACCAACUCAUCCUCGAGCUUCAGCUUCGCACGCUGAAACUCGAGAAGAGGCUUCUGAACACAAAUCGCCGAAAGCAAUACAAAAUGAGAAGCACCAAGCUUCCUACCAGCUAAAAGACUAUUCUUAGUAGCUUCAUAAUCAAUCUUCCAUGAAUCCUUAACCCCUCCAUUUCUACUAGCAAGACAUGACACAACAACAUCAAAACCAACACCUAAGUUCUUCAAAUCCUCAUCAAAAACAUCCAAAUUUGUCACAUCAGAGAAACACACAUUAGCACCUCUUAACUCAUUCAAUGUUGUUUCUUUAUCAAUGCUACCCUUUAUUCCACUCUUUUCUCUAGCUAUUGCAGUAACAUUAAACCCUCUUUGAAUCAACUCUUUCACUACAAAUUUUCCUAUAUACCCAGUUGAACCUACUACCAAUACAUUAACAUCUUUAGGAUUCUUGAUUCUAAAUGUUGUUGGGGUUGUUUCAAUUUGUUCAGAUUGUGAAAGAGAUGCAUAAAGUUUCAAUUUUUGUUUGGUAUACUUAAUGGGUCUGUUUGAUUUUACCUUGAAUAGGUUGAUGAAGUGAGAAGGGGGGUGUGAAGAGAAAUUGAAGGAGAGGGUUUGGUGUUUGAGUGAGGGGUGUGUGAUGAAAGUG